This 19-nucleotide ribosomal RNA is filed under the name Candelariella coralliza. RNAcentral describes it as "partial 25S ribosomal RNA". The record is from RNAcentral. Lineage: Eukaryota; Fungi; Ascomycota; Candelariomycetes; Candelariales; Candelariaceae.
CUCGGAUCAGGUAGGGAUA